GAUGAACGCUGGCGGCGUGCCUAACACAUGCAAGUCGAACGGAAAGGCCCUGCUUUUGCGGGGUGCUCGUUUGGCGAACGGGGGUGUAUCACGUGAGUAACCCGCCCCUGACUUAGGGAUAUAUUCACGGAAAUGCGGAGCAUAUCGGUGAGAAUCUCCUGCUCCACGUUGUGGAUUGGAAAAUUUCGGCGGUGGGGGAUGGACUCGCUGCUUAUCAGCUUGUUGUUGUGGUAGUGGCUUACCAAGGCUUUGACGGGUACCCGGCCUGAGAGGGUGACCGGCCACAAUGGGCCUGAGAUACGGCCCAGACUCCUACGGGAGGCAGCAGUGGGGAAUAUUGCACAGUGGGCGGAAGCCUGAUGCAGCAAUGCCGCGUGCGGGAUGACGGCCUUCGGGUUGUAAACCGCUGUCGCCUGUGACGAAGCGUGAGUGACGGUAAUGGGUAAAGAAGCACCGGCUAACUACGUG
This 468-nucleotide ribosomal RNA is filed under the name uncultured bacterium. Its description in RNAcentral is "partial 16S ribosomal RNA". It matches the Rfam family "Bacterial small subunit ribosomal RNA", at positions 28 to 507 of the family's 1533-position model. The record is from RNAcentral.